GGAUAACAUUUGCAAACAGAUGCUAAUACCCUAUAACAACUUUUACCGCAUGGUAAAACUUUAAAAGAUGGUUCUGCUAUCACUAAUAAAUGGUCUCGCGGUGUUUUACCUAAAUGGUGAGGUAAUGGCUCAC
This 133-nucleotide ribosomal RNA is filed under the name uncultured bacterium. RNAcentral's name for it is "partial 16S ribosomal RNA". It matches the Rfam family "Bacterial small subunit ribosomal RNA", at positions 141 to 268 of the family's 1533-position model. The record is from RNAcentral.